CCUACGGGUUGCAGCAGUGGGGAAUAUUGCACAAUGGGCGCAAGCCUGAUGCAGCCAUGCCGCGUGUGUGAAGAAGGCCUUCGGGUUGUAAAGCACUUUCAGCGAGGAGGAAGGUGGAGAACUUAAUACGUUCAUCAAUUGACGUUACUCGCAGAAGAAGCACCGGCAGACUCCGUGCCAGCAGCCGCGGUAAUACGGAGGGUGCAAGCGUUAAUCGGAAUUACUGGGCGUAAAGCGCACGCAGGCGGUUUGUUAAGUCAGAUGUGAAAUCCCCGGGCUCAACCUGGGAACUGCAUUUGAAACUGGCAAGCUAGAGUCUCGUAGAGGGGGGUAGAAUUCCAGGUGUAGCGGUGAAAUGCGUAGAGAUCUGGAGGAAUACCGGUGGCGAAGGCGGCCCCCUGGACGAAGACUGACGCUCAGGUGCGAAAGCGUGGGGAGCAAACAGGAUUAGAUACCCCAGUAGUC
This 465-nucleotide ribosomal RNA is filed under the name uncultured bacterium. RNAcentral's name for it is "bacterial SSU rRNA". It matches the Rfam family "Bacterial small subunit ribosomal RNA", at positions 338 to 795 of the family's 1533-position model. The record is from RNAcentral.